GAGGCAUCAGGGCAGCGGAGUGCCCGCAACCUUGUCACGGUUGAGAUCAGGGGUUCGAGUCCCCUAUGCCUCA
Molecule: transfer RNA, 73 nt
Filed under: Chloroflexota bacterium
Lineage: Bacteria; Bacillati; Chloroflexota
Description: tRNA-Asp
Rfam family: tRNA
About the family: Transfer RNA (tRNA) molecules are approximately 80 nucleotides in length. Their secondary structure includes four short double-helical elements and three loops (D, anti-codon, and T loops).
Source: RNAcentral